GGUUAAGCGACUAAGCGUACACGGUGGAUGCCCUGGCAGUCAGAGGCGAUGAAGGACGUGCUAAUCUGCGAUAAGCGUCGGUAAGGUGAUAUGAACCGUUAUAACCGGCGAUUUCCGAAUGGGGAAACCCAGUGUGUUUCGACACACUAUCAUUAACUGAAUCCAUAGGUUAAUGAGGCGAACCGGGGGAACUGAAACAUCUAAGUACCCCGAGGAAAAGAAAUCAACCGAGAUUCCCCCAGUAGCGGCGAGCGAACGGGGAGCAGCCCAGAGCCUGAAUCAGUAUGUGUGUUAGUGGAAGCGUCUGGAAAGGCGCGCGAUACAGGGUGACAGCCCCGUACACAAAAAUGCACAUAUUGUGAGCUCGAUGAGUAGGGCGGGACACGUGGUAUCCUGUCUGAAUAUGGGGGGGACCAUCCUCCAAGGCUAAAUACUCCUGACUGACCGAUAGUGAACCAGUACCGUGAGGGAAAGGCGAAAAGAACCCCGGCGAGGGGAGUGAAAAAGAACCUGAAACCGUGUACGUACAAGCAGUGGGAGCACGCUUAGGCGUGUGACUGCGUACCUUUUGUAUAAUGGGUCAGCGACUUAUAUUCUGUAGCAAGGUUAACCGAAUAGGGGAGCCGAAGGGAAACCGAGUCUUAACUGGGCGUUAAGUUGCAGGGUAUAGACCCGAAACCCGGUGAUCUAGCCAUGGGCAGGUUGAAGGUUGGGUAACACUAACUGGAGGACCGAACCGACUAAUGUUGAAAAAUUAGCGGAUGACUUGUGGCUGGGGGUGAAAGGCCAAUCAAACCGGGAGAUAGCUGGUUCUCCCCGAAAGCUAUUUAGGUAGCGCCUCGUGAAUUCAUCUCCGGGGGUAGAGCACUGUUUCGGCAAGGGGGUCAUCCCGACUUACCAACCCGAUGCAAACUGCGAAUACCGGAGAAUGUUAUCACGGGAGACACACGGCGGGUGCUAACGUCCGUCGUGAAGAGGGAAACAACCCAGACCGCCAGCUAAGGUCCCAAAGUCAUGGUUAAGUGGGAAACGAUGUGGGAAGGCCCAGACAGCCAGGAUGUUGGCUUAGAAGCAGCCAUCAUUUAAAGAAAGCGUAAUAGCUCACUGGUCGAGUCGGCCUGCGCGGAAGAUGUAACGGGGCUAAACCAUGCACCGAAGCUGCGGCAGCGACACUAUGUGUUGUUGGGUAGGGGAGCGUUCUGUAAGCCUGUGAAGGUGUGCUGUGAGGCAUGCUGGAGGUAUCAGAAGUGCGAAUGCUGACAUAAGUAACGAUAAAGCGGGUGAAAAGCCCGCUCGCCGGAAGACCAAGGGUUCCUGUCCAACGUUAAUCGGGGCAGGGUGAGUCGACCCCUAAGGCGAGGCCGAAAGGCGUAGUCGAUGGGAAACAGGUUAAUAUUCCUGUACUUGGUGUUACUGCGAAGGGGGGACGGAGAAGGCUAUGUUGGCCGGGCGACGGUUGUCCCGGUUUAAGCGUGUAGGCUGGUUUUCCAGGCAAAUCCGGAAAAUCAAGGCUGAGGCGUGAUGACGAGGCACUACGGUGCUGAAGCAACAAAUGCCCUGCUUCCAGGAAAAGCCUCUAAGCAUCAGGUAACAUCAAAUCGUACCCCAAACCGACACAGGUGGUCAGGUAGAGAAUACCAAGGCGCUUGAGAGAACUCGGGUGAAGGAACUAGGCAAAAUGGUGCCGUAACUUCGGGAGAAGGCACGCUGAUAUGUAGGUGAAGUCCCUCGCGGAUGGAGCUGAAAUCAGUCGAAGAUACCAGCUGGCUGCAACUGUUUAUUAAAAACACAGCACUGUGCAAACACGAAAGUGGACGUAUACGGUGUGACGCCUGCCCGGUGCCGGAAGGUUAAUUGAUGGGGUUAGCCGCAAGGCGAAGCUCUUGAUCGAAGCCCCGGUAAACGGCGGCCGUAACUAUAACGGUCCUAAGGUAGCGAAAUUCCUUGUCGGGUAAGUUCCGACCUGCACGAAUGGCGUAAUGAUGGCCAGGCUGUCUCCACCCGAGACUCAGUGAAAUUGAACUCGCUGUGAAGAUGCAGUGUACCCGCGGCAAGACGGAAAGACCCCGUGAACCUUUACUAUAGCUUGACACUGAACAUUGAGCCUUGAUGUGUAGGAUAGGUGGGAGGCUUUGAAGUGUGGACGCCAGUCUGCAUGGAGCCGACCUUGAAAUACCACCCUUUAAUGUUUGAUGUUCUAACGUUGACCCGUAAUCCGGGUUGCGGACAGUGUCUGGUGGGUAGUUUGACUGGGGCGGUCUCCUCCUAAAGAGUAACGGAGGAGCACGAAGGUUGGCUAAUCCUGGUCGGACAUCAGGAGGUUAGUGCAAUGGCAUAAGCCAGCUUGACUGCGAGCGUGACGGCGCGAGCAGGUGCGAAAGCAGGUCAUAGUGAUCCGGUGGUUCUGAAUGGAAGGGCCAUCGCUCAACGGAUAAAAGGUACUCCGGGGAUAACAGGCUGAUACCGCCCAAGAGUUCAUAUCGACGGCGGUGUUUGGCACCUCGAUGUCGGCUCAUCACAUCCUGGGGCUGAAGUAGGUCCCAAGGGUAUGGCUGUUCGCCAUUUAAAGUGGUACGCGAGCUGGGUUUAGAACGUCGUGAGACAGUUCGGUCCCUAUCUGCCGUGGGCGCUGGAGAACUGAGGGGGGCUGCUCCUAGUACGAGAGGACCGGAGUGGACGCAUCACUGGUGUUCGGGUUGUCAUGCCAAUGGCACUGCCCGGUAGCUAAAUGCGGAAGAGAUAAGUGCUGAAAGCAUCUAAGCACGAAACUUGCCCCGAGAUGAGUUCUCCCUGACUCCUUGAGAGUCCUGAAGGAACGUUGAAGACGACGACGUUGAUAGGCCGGGUGUGUAAGCGCAGCGAUGCGUUGAGCUAACCGGUACUAAUGAACCGUGAGGCUUAACCUU
This 2906-nucleotide ribosomal RNA is filed under the name Escherichia coli. Its description in RNAcentral is "23S ribosomal RNA". It matches the Rfam family "Bacterial large subunit ribosomal RNA". Lineage: Bacteria; Pseudomonadati; Pseudomonadota; Gammaproteobacteria; Enterobacterales; Enterobacteriaceae. The record is from RNAcentral.